This 455-nucleotide ribosomal RNA is filed under the name uncultured bacterium. RNAcentral describes it as "bacterial SSU rRNA". It matches the Rfam family "Bacterial small subunit ribosomal RNA", at positions 340 to 786 of the family's 1533-position model. The record is from RNAcentral.
UACGGAAGGCAGCAGUGGGGAAUAUUGCACAAUGGGCGCAAGCCUGAUGCAGCCAUGCCGCGUGUAUGAAGAAGGCCUUCGGGUUGUAAAGUACUUUCAGUCGUGAGGAAGGUGUUAAGGUUAAUAACCUUAGCAAUUGACGUUAGCGACAGAAGAAGCACCGGCUAACUCCGUGCCAGCAGCCGCGGUAAUACGGAGGGUGCGAGCGUUAAUCGGAAUUACUGGGCGUAAAGGGCACGCAGGCGGUUAAUUAAGUUGGAUGUGAAAUCCCCGGGCUUAACCUGGGAAUGGCAUUCAAGACUGGUUAGCUAGAGUCUUGUAGAGGGGGUAGAAUUCCAUGUGUAGCGGUGAAAUGCGUAGAGAUGUGGAGGAAUACCGGUGGCGAAGGCGGCCCCUGGGACAAAGACUGACGCUCGAUGUGCGAAAGCGUGGGGAGCGAAACAGGAUUAGAUACC